This 252-nucleotide ribosomal RNA is filed under the name uncultured bacterium. Its description in RNAcentral is "partial 16S ribosomal RNA". It matches the Rfam family "Bacterial small subunit ribosomal RNA", at positions 524 to 776 of the family's 1533-position model. The record is from RNAcentral.
UACGGAGGAUGCGAGCGUUAUCCGGAUUUAUUGGGUUUAAAGGGUGCGUGGGCGGGCUUUUAAGUCAGCGGUAAAAAUUCGGGGCUCAACCCCGUCCGGCCGUUGAAACUGGGGGCCUUGAGUGGGCGAGAAGAAGGCGGAAUGCGUGGUGUAGCGGUGAAAUGCAUAGAUAUCACGCAGAACCCCGGUUGCGAAGGCAGCCUUCCGGCGCCCUACUGACGCUGAGGCACGAAAGUGCGGGGAUCGAACAGG